Molecule: ribosomal RNA, 484 nt
Filed under: uncultured bacterium
Lineage: Bacteria
Description: partial 16S ribosomal RNA
Rfam family: Archaeal small subunit ribosomal RNA
Source: RNAcentral
GAGUGCCGUCCGCUGAGGANGGCUUUUCCUUGGUGUAACUAGCCGGGGGAAUAAGGAGAGGGCAAGACUGGUGUCAGCCGCCGCGGUAAUACCAGCUCUCCGAGUGGUGGGGAUGAUUAUUGGGCUUAAAGCGUCCGUAGCCGGCUUAGCAAGUCUCCGGUUAAAUCCNACGACCUAAUCGUUGGGCUGCGGGAGAUACUGNUGGGCUAGGAGGCGGGAGAAGCCGACGGUNNUNCCGGGGUAGGGGUGAAAUCCUNUAAUCCCGGGNGGACCACCAGUGGCGAAGGCUGUCGACUAGAACGCGCUCGACGGUGAGGGACGAAAGCUGGGGGAGCGAACCGGAUUANAUACCCGGGUAGUCCCAGCNGUAAACGAUGCAGGCUAGGUGUUGGGGUGGCUACNNGCCACUUCAGUGCCGCAUGGAAGCCAUUAAGCCCGCCGCCUGGGGAGUACGGCCGCAAGGCUGAAACUUAAAGGAAUUGGC